AGCGAACGCUGGCGGCAGGCCUAACACAUGCAAGUCGAACGAACCCUUCGGAGUUAGUGGCGGACGGGUGAGUAACACGUGGGAACGUGCCUUUUGGUUCGGAAUAACUCAGGGAAACUUGUGCUAAUACCGAAUGUGCCCUUCGGGGGAAAGAUUUAUCGCCAUUAGAGCGGCCCGCGUCUGAUUAGCUAGUUGGUGAGGUAACGGCUCACCAAGGCGACGAUCAGUAGCUGGUCUGAGAGGAUGACCAGCCACACUGGGACUGAGACACGGCCCAGACUCCUACGGGAGGCAGCAGUGGGGAAUCUUGCGCAAUGGGCGAAAGCCUGACGCAGCCAUGCCGCGUGAAUGAUGAAGGUCUUAGGAUUGUAAAAUCCUUUCACCGGGGACGAUAAUGACGGUACCCGGAGAAGAAGCCCCGGCUAACUUCGUG
This 433-nucleotide ribosomal RNA is filed under the name uncultured bacterium. RNAcentral's name for it is "partial 16S ribosomal RNA". It matches the Rfam family "Bacterial small subunit ribosomal RNA", at positions 29 to 507 of the family's 1533-position model. The record is from RNAcentral.